AGUGAACGCUGGCGGUAGGCCUAACACAUGCAAGUCGAACGGCAGCACAGUAAGAGCUUGCUCUUACGGGUGGCGAGUGGCGGACGGGUGAGGAAUACAUCGGAAUCUACUUUUUCGUGGGGGAUAACGUAGGGAAACUUACGCUAAUACCGCAUACGACCUACGGGUGAAAGCAGGGGAUCUUCUGACCUUGCGCGAUUGAAUGAGCCGAUGUCGGAUUAGCUAGUUGGCGGGGUAAAGGCCCACCAAGGCGACGAUCCGUAGCUGGUCUGAGAGGAUGAUCAGCCACACUGGAACUGAGACACGGUCCAGACUCCUACGGGAGGCAGCAGUGGGGAAUAUUGGACAAUGGGCGCAAGCCUGAUCCAGCCAUACCGCGUGGGUGAAGAAGGCCUCCGGGUUGUAAAGCCCUUUUGUUGGGAAAGAAAAGCAGCAGGUUAAUACCCCGCUGUUCUGACGGUACCCAAAGAAUAAGCACCGGCUAACUUCGUG
This 492-nucleotide ribosomal RNA is filed under the name uncultured bacterium. RNAcentral describes it as "partial 16S ribosomal RNA". It matches the Rfam family "Bacterial small subunit ribosomal RNA", at positions 29 to 507 of the family's 1533-position model. The record is from RNAcentral.